This 400-nucleotide ribosomal RNA is filed under the name phytoplankton environmental sample. Its description in RNAcentral is "partial small subunit ribosomal RNA". It matches the Rfam family "Eukaryotic small subunit ribosomal RNA", at positions 587 to 985 of the family's 1831-position model. The record is from RNAcentral.
AGCUCCAAUAGCGUAUACUAAUGUUGUUGCAGUUAAAAAGCUCGUAGUUGGAUAUCUGGGAUUAAUUUUUUGUCCUUAGGCAUAGUUCUAUGUGUACAAUUUUAAUUAAUCCCAUCUUAGUAGUGAUUGUAUCUGGCAUUAGGUUGUCGGUUGCAGGAGCUGCUUCAUUUACUAUGAAAAAAUCAGAGUGUUCAAAGCAGUUUAAUGAAACUUGAAUACUUCAGCAUGGAAUAAAAAGAUAGGACGUUGGUACUAUUUUAUUGGUUUGUAUGCCACGUAAUGAUUAAUAGGGAUAGUUGGGGGUAUUCAUAUUUGAUUGUCAGAGGUGAAAUUCUUGGAUUUAUGAAAGAUGAACUUAUGCGAAAGCAUUUACCAAGGAUGUUUUCACUAAUCAAGAACG